AUGGCUCGCCUUCCCUGCUCAUCCCUCCUCCUCCUCUUCUUGUCGUCGCAGCUCGCCCUGCUCGUCGCCGGCGAGUUCCUCCGCCUGCCGUCCGAGAAGGACGUCGUCGGGACGAGAUGGGCCGUCCUCAUCGCCGGCUCCAACGGCUACUACAACUACCGCCACCAGGCGGACGUAUGCCACGCGUACCAGAUCAUGAAGAAGGGCGGGCUGAAGGACGAGAACAUCAUCGUCUUCAUGUACGACGACAUCGCCGGCAACCGCGACAACCCCAGGCCUGGGGUCAUCAUCAACCACCCCAAAGGCGGCGACGUCUACGCCGGAGUCCCCAAGGACUACACGGGGGCAGACGUCAACGCCAACAACUUCCUCGCCGCGCUGCUCGGCGACAAGUCCAAGCUCACCGGCAGCGGCAGCGGCAAGGUCGUCAGCAGCGGCCCGGACGACCACAUCUUCGUCUAUUACGCCGAUCACGGUGGCCCAGGGAUCCUUGGGAUGCCGGGCGACGAGGAGUACCUGUACGCGAACGACCUGGUGCGGACGCUGGAGAAGAAGCACGCCGGCGGGGCCGGGUAUAAGAGCCUGGUCUUCUACCUGGAGGCCUGCGAGUCCGGGAGCAUCUUCGAGGGCCUCCUCCCGGGCAACAUCAGCGUGUACGCGACCACGGCGGCCAACGCGGAGGAGAGCAGCUGGGGCACCUACUGCCCCGGCGACGACGAGGGCGCCCCGCCGCCCGAGUACGACACCUGCCUCGGCGACCUCUACAGCGUCGCCUGGAUGGAGGACAGCGACGCGCACAACCUCAACGCCGAGUCCCUCAAGCAGCAGUACGAGCGGGUCAGGGACCGGACGUCGGCCAACGGCACGUACAGCCUCGGCUCCCACGUCAUGCAGUACGGCGACCUGGGCCUCAACGACCAGAGCCUCUUCCUCUUCAUCGGCACCAAUCCUGCCAACGACAACGCCUCCUUCCUCCAGGGCUCCUCCUCGACCUCCAGGCAGCUGCCGGGCGGCAGGGUGAACCAGCGGGACGCCGACCUCGUCCACUUCUGGCACAAGUACCGGAGGUCGGCGGAGGGGUCGGCCGAGAAAGGCGAGGCGCGGAGGCGGCUGGUGGAGACGAUGGCGCGGCGGUCUCGCGUGGACAGCAGCGUGGAGCUCAUCGGCGGCCUCCUCUUCGGCUCAGAGGAAGGUGCCAAGGUCCUCGGCGCCGUGCGGCCGGCGGGGCAGCCUGUGGUGGAUGACUGGGACUGCCUCAAGUCUGUGGUGUGGACGUUCCAGCAGCGGUGCGGGCCGCUGACGCAGUACGGGAUGAAGCACAUGCGCUCGCUCGCCAACCUCUGCAACGCCGGCGUCCGUGAGGAGGCCAUGGACAAGGCUGCGUCUCAGGCGUGCGCUGCUAAUCCUUCCUCCUUGUUCUGA
RNAcentral lists this ribosomal RNA (1422 nucleotides) under Triticum aestivum (bread wheat). Its description in RNAcentral is "partial small subunit ribosomal RNA". The record is from RNAcentral. Lineage: Eukaryota; Viridiplantae; Streptophyta; Magnoliopsida; Poales; Poaceae.